GAGACACUAGUAAAAAGACAAUUACACUGCUUUGUCAAGGCAGAUUUGCAGGUUAGACCCCUGCGUGUCUUA
Molecule: transfer RNA, 72 nt
Filed under: Pseudanthias huchtii (red-cheeked fairy basslet)
Lineage: Eukaryota; Metazoa; Chordata; Actinopteri; Perciformes; Anthiadidae
Description: tRNA-Asp
Rfam family: tRNA
About the family: Transfer RNA (tRNA) molecules are approximately 80 nucleotides in length.
Source: RNAcentral